This 227-nucleotide ribosomal RNA is filed under the name uncultured bacterium. RNAcentral's name for it is "partial 16S ribosomal RNA". It matches the Rfam family "Bacterial small subunit ribosomal RNA", at positions 107 to 334 of the family's 1533-position model. The record is from RNAcentral.
UGAGUAACGCGUGGAUAAUCUGCCCUCUACUGGGGAAUAACUAACCGAAAGGUUAGCUAAUACCGCAUGAGACCACAGUUUCCGAGGAAACAGAGGUUAAAGAUUUAUUGGUAGAGGAUGAGUCCGCGUGGGAUUAGCUAGUUGGUGGGGUAACGGCCUACCAAGGCGACGAUCUCUAACAGGUCUGAGAGGAUGACCUGUCACACUGGAACUGAGACACGGUCCAG